UACGGAGGGAGCUAGCGUUGUUCGGAAUUACUGGGCGUAAAGCGUACGUAGGCGGUUAUUCAAGUCAGAGGUGAAAGCCCGGGGCUCAACCCCGGAACUGCCUUUGAAACUAGAUAGCUAGAGUCUGGGAGAGGUUAGUGGAAUUCCGAGUGUAGAGGUGAAAUUCGUAGAUAUUCGGAAGAACACCAGUGGCGAAGGCGACUAACUGGACAAGUACUGACGCUGAGGCACGAAAGCGUGGGGAGCAAACAGG
Molecule: ribosomal RNA, 253 nt
Filed under: uncultured bacterium
Lineage: Bacteria
Description: partial 16S ribosomal RNA
Rfam family: Bacterial small subunit ribosomal RNA
Source: RNAcentral